CCUACGGGAGGCAGCAGUGAGGAAUAUUGGUCAAUGGACGAGAGUCUGAACCAGCCAAGUAGCGUGAAGGAUGACUGCCCUAUGGGUUGUAAACUUCUUUUAUAUGGGAAUAAAAUGUUCCACGUGUGGGAUUUUGUAUGUACCAUAUGAAUAAGGAUCGGCUAACUCCGUGCCAGCAGCCGCGGUAAUACGGAGGAUCCGAGCGUUAUCCGGAUUUAUUGGGUUUAAAGGGAGCGUAGGUGGAUUGUUAAGUCAGUUGUGAAAGUUUGCGGCUCAACCGUAAAAUUGCAGUUGAAACUGGCAGUCGUGAGUACAGUAGAGGUGGGCGGAAUUCGUGGUGUAGCGGUGAAAUGCUUAGAUAUCACGAAGAACUCCGAUUGCGAAGGCAGCUCACUGGACUGCAACUGACACUGAGGCUCGAAAGUGUGGGUAUCAAACAGGAGUAGAUACCCCUGUAGUC
RNAcentral lists this ribosomal RNA (460 nucleotides) under uncultured bacterium. Its description in RNAcentral is "partial 16S ribosomal RNA". It matches the Rfam family "Bacterial small subunit ribosomal RNA", at positions 338 to 795 of the family's 1533-position model. The record is from RNAcentral.